This 172-nucleotide ribosomal RNA is filed under the name uncultured Alphaproteobacteria bacterium. RNAcentral describes it as "partial 16S ribosomal RNA". It matches the Rfam family "Bacterial small subunit ribosomal RNA", at positions 335 to 524 of the family's 1533-position model. The record is from RNAcentral. Lineage: Bacteria; Pseudomonadati; Pseudomonadota; Alphaproteobacteria.
ACUCCUACGGGAGGCAGCAGUGGGGAAUAUUGGACAAUGGGGGAAACCCUGAUCCAGCCAAGCCGCGUGAGUGAAGAAGGCCUUAGGGUUGUAAAACUCUUUCAGCGGGGAAGAUGAUGACGGUACCCGCAGAAGGAGCCCCGGCUAACUCCGUGCCAGCAGCCGCGGUAAU